Molecule: long non-coding RNA, 990 nt
Organism: Mytilus californianus (California mussel)
Lineage: Eukaryota; Metazoa; Mollusca; Bivalvia; Mytilida; Mytilidae
Exons: 2
Source: RefSeq, a predicted model, not a curated record
UUACCUAUGUGAUAAGCUACACAACAGUUAUAAAAUUUAAUCAAUAUAUUAGAUUGGUUUAAUGAUAGUAACUAGAACACGAACUUCAGAAUGGGAGAGAUUAUCAACCAGUGUGAAAUUUGCUUUCUUGGUGGAGAAUUGAAAACAUCAAUAAAGUACUGUUUAGAUUGCAGACAGCCACUAUGUGAAGGUUGUAAUCAACAGCAUGGGAAGUUUCGCUUAUUGAACGACCAUAAAGUGCUUUCAAUAGAAGAAUAUUCAAAGUUCUUACCUGAAAUUCGCAGUUUAAAGAAGACGUGUAGUGAUCAUGAAGAUGAAACAUUCGAGUUUCUAUGUUUUGAUCACAAUAGUUGUGUCUGCUUCUUAUGCUUGAAAGAUAAGCACAAACUGUGUAAAGACGUUCAUAGAGUAAAAUCGCUAAAUGCAGACGAAGCUGUUGAAUCGUUCUUUUCAAAGCUCGAAAGUAACAAAAAACAGGCAGAGGGACUCCUCAAUUCGUACAAGUUCAAUAUGACCGAUCUAAUAGCAUCAACACAAUCCGCUAAAACUAAUAUUCAGUCCAUAAUAAAUAAUGCACAAUCGUUUUUACACAAAUGUCGCUCCAAAAUAGAAAAACAACUUGCAGAUGAAACUGUGCAAUUGAAACAGAAAAUUAAAUAUUGUGAAGCAGUAGUAGCCAAAAUAUCACAGAGAAAAGAAGUGCUUAAAAAAUUCAUCAAGUUUGGCGAUUCUUACCAGGUAUUUGGCAAACUAUGUGCUUUGGAAACUGAACAGAAAAGUGACGAAAAACUACUACAAGAUAUGAAAAGUAAACUCCACAAAGUAACAUUUCGAUUUCAGAUUGUACCACCAAUUCUUGAUCAGAUUGUUCGUCUUACUGUUUCUUAGUUAUUCAGUUCUAAAAAAAAACUGUACGUCAUGACUAGAGGUUACGGUAUAAAUGUCAAUAUAAAUUAAUCAAAUAAACCCAAUAAAUACAUUCAGAUUCUC